RNAcentral lists this long non-coding RNA (1231 nucleotides) under Vigna radiata. Its description in RNAcentral is "long non-coding RNA (VRAD_LNC001742)". The record is from RNAcentral. Lineage: Eukaryota; Viridiplantae; Streptophyta; Magnoliopsida; Fabales; Fabaceae.
GGGCACAUUCAUACACUCCCUAAUAAAGAGUGUGGUGGGUGUGAGGUUUGAGAGUUCCUUUUCCUUGUAUGGAAGAGAAGGGUGAGAGAGUUGAAACCAAAAAAAAAAAAAUAAUAACAGUGAUACCUUAGGUUUGGUUAGAAUAAAAAGAGAGAGUUGGGUUUUUGGGUCUCACGUAAGAUGGGCACUGGUGCAUGGGGUUGCAUGAGAAAAAUGGGAUUUGGGUUGUUGUAGUGAAAAGAGAUUAGAAGAAAGUAGGGGUAGAAGAUUGACGUAAGUGAGGGUGAGAAAAGUGAGAGUUAAAGUGGGCAUUGAAAAGUCAAAGGGAAGUAAGGAGUGAAUUUAGAAGUGUGUAUGAGGAAGGUGCAUGCAUGGGAAUAUAUGUAAAUUGUAGUGAGUGAAGAGUAUAGGUGUGAAUUGUGUCUUAGUUAGAGUGAAGUGAGAAAAUCAAAAUGAAAGAAGGUGCAGGGGAAGUGUGGGGGCCGUGAGCAUUGAUUGUAAGAAAGAAAAGUGUGAAUGAAUAAUGUAGUGUGUGAAGGGUGAGGAGAGUCCUACGUAAAUGAUAUGUGGAGGGGAGAGAAGUUGCAACUUUUAGCUUAGUAAAAGAGAGUAAAAAGUGGUGAAUUUAAAGUGGGAUCCACGGUUUUGGGUGAGAGAAAUGAAAGGAGAGUGGUUAUCUCAUAAAGUUAACCUUUUUAUUUGACUUUUACGUAAGUAAAGGAAGAAAGAGUGUUUUAGNUGAGAAAUGAGUAACUUAAAGUGGGACCUACCUUGGAAGUAAGAGAAAAUGUAAUUUAAUGAUUUUGGGGCCCACUUGAAAAAGGUAGGUGUUGAAGGGAGUGUGUUUAGAGUAAAAAGGGGUGUAUAGGAAUUUAUGCAUUUUCUUUAGUGUUGGAAAUUUAGNAAAAAAUGAGGGUGUACUAGAAAUGUUGUUCUAGUUAAUGGAAGUGUGAAAUUAGUAAUCUCAGGGGGUGCAUCAGUAGAAAAAAAAUAAUAAUAAUUAAAUUAUGUUAUUUAAUUAUUUGUGUUUUUUUUUAUUAAUCGUUGGUCAAUCAUUUUGGUUGGCUUUCUAUAUGAUGGUGAUUUGUGUAUGGUUGUGAUGGUGAAGUUGUGAGAGCAAGUGUCCUGUCAUUUUCUUAGAAUAUUUGUCGAACCGAUGAUGGUGUUCGUAUUGCGAUACGAUAAUGUGUCCAGUUCUCUGAGGCUGAGAUUCGAGUGUCACCCUAUCCUC